RNAcentral lists this ribosomal RNA (433 nucleotides) under uncultured bacterium. RNAcentral describes it as "partial 16S ribosomal RNA". It matches the Rfam family "Bacterial small subunit ribosomal RNA", at positions 29 to 507 of the family's 1533-position model. The record is from RNAcentral.
AACGAACGCUGGCGGCAUGCCUAACACAUGCAAGUCGAACGAGACCUUCGGGUCUAGUGGCGCACGGGUGCGUAACGCGUGGGAACCUGCCCUUAGGUUCGGAAUAACUCCCCGAAAGGGGUGCUAAUACCGGAUAAUGUCUUCGGACCAAAGAUUUAUCGCCUUUGGAUGGGCCCGCGUUGGAUUAGCUAGUUGGUAGGGUAAAAGCCUACCAAGGCGACGAUCCAUAGCUGGUCUGAGAGGAUGAUCAGCCACACUGGGACUGAGACACGGCCCAGACUCCUACGGGAGGAAGCAGUGGGGAAUAUUGGACAAGGGGCGAAAGCCUGAUCCAGCAAUGCCGCGUGAGUGAUGAAGGCCUUAGGGUUGUAAAGCUCUUUUAACCGGGAUGAUAAUGACAGUACCGGGAGAAUAAGCGCCGGCUAACUCCGUG